Molecule: ribosomal RNA, 253 nt
Filed under: uncultured bacterium
Lineage: Bacteria
Description: partial 16S ribosomal RNA
Rfam family: Bacterial small subunit ribosomal RNA
Source: RNAcentral
UACGAAGGGUGCAAGCGUUACUCGGAAUUACUGGGCGUAAAGCGUGCGUAGGUGGUUCGUUAAGUCUGAUGUGAAAGCCCCGGGCUCAACCUGGGAAUUGCAUUGGAAACUAGCGGGCUGGAGUGUGGCAGAGGGGGGUGGAAUUCCACGUGUAGCAGUGAAAUGCGUAGAGAUGUGGAGGAACACCGAUGGCGAAGGCAGCCCCCUGGGCUAACACUGACGCUCAUGCACGAAAGCGUGGGGAGCAAACAGG